AAGGCUUAAAUGUUAAUAAUAGACGAGAAGACCCUAUAGAUCUUUAUUUAAUUAAUAUUUUAAUAAUUUAGGAUUAUUUUAAUUUAAAAUUUUAAUUAAAUUUUAUUGGGGUAAUAUAAAGAUUUAAUUAAUUCUUUUUAUUAAUUACAUUAAUUUAUGAAUAAAUGAUCCAAUACUAUUGAUUAUAAGAUUAAGUUACCUUAGGGAUAACAGCGUAAUUUUUUUGGAGAGCUCAUAUCGAUAAAAAAGU
This 250-nucleotide ribosomal RNA is filed under the name Cicindela aurulenta juxtata. Its description in RNAcentral is "partial 16S ribosomal RNA". The record is from RNAcentral. Lineage: Eukaryota; Metazoa; Arthropoda; Insecta; Coleoptera; Carabidae.